Molecule: ribosomal RNA, 728 nt
Filed under: uncultured bacterium
Lineage: Bacteria
Description: bacterial SSU rRNA
Rfam family: Bacterial small subunit ribosomal RNA
Source: RNAcentral
UAAAGAAAGGAUCCUACGGGAUCGGCCUAACGAUGAGUCUGCGUCCCAUUAGCUGGUUGGUGAGGUAAAGGCCCACCAAGGCGAUGAUGGGUAGCCGGCCUGAGAGGGUGUACGGCCACACUGGGACUGAGAUACGGCCCAGACUCCUACGGGAGGCAGCAGCUAAGAAUAUUCCGCAAUGGACGAAAGUCUGACGGAGCGACGCCGCGUGGAUGAAGAAGGCCGCAAGGUUGUAAAAUCCUUUUGCUGGGGAAGAAUAAGCACAGGAGGGAAUGCCUGUGUGAUGACAUGAACCGGCGAAUAAGCCCCGGCCAACUACGUGCCAGCAGCCGCGGUAACACGUAGGGGGCGAGCGUUGUUCGGAAUUACUGGGCGUAAAGGGCAUGUAGGCGGUUUAGUAAGCUUGGCGUGAAAGACCACGGCUCAACCGUGGGGUUGCGUUGAGAACUGCUGAACUUGAGUUACGGAGAGGGAGCUAGAAUUCCUGGUGUAGGGGUGGAAUCUGUAGAGAUCAGGAAGAAUACCAAUGGCGAAGGCAAGCUUCUGGCCGAUAACUGACGCUGAGGUGCGAAAGUGUGGGGAUCAAACAGGAUUAGAUACCCUGGUAGUCCACACUGUAAACGAUGUACACUAGGUGCUGGUGCGGAUGCAUCAGGGCCGAAGCGAACGCGCUAAGUGUACCGCCUGGGGAGUAUGCCCGCAAGGGUGAAACUCAAAGGAAUUGACGG